GAACAAGGUUUCCCGUAGGUGAACCUCGCGGAAGGAUCAUUAUUGAAAUAAACCUGAUGGGUUGUUGCUGGUUCUCUAGGGAGCAUGUGCACACCUUGUCAUCUUUAUAUCUCCACCUGUGCACUUUUUGUAGACCUUUCAGGUCUAUGUUGCUUUAUUUACCCCAAUGUAUGUUAAUAGAAUGUUGUGCCUAUAUAAUAUAUACAACUUUCAGCAACGGAUCUCUUGGCUCUCGCAUCGAUGAAGAACGCAGCGAAAUGCGAUAAGUAAUGUGAAUUGCAGAAUUCAGUGAAUCAUCGAAUCUUUGAACGCACCUUGCGCUCCUUGGUAUUCCGAGGAGCAUGCCUGUUUGAGUGUCAUUAAUAUAUCAACCUUCUCUUUUUUGAGUUGNUUGGAUGUGGGGGUUUGCUGGCAUCUUAAAUGAUUCAGCUCCCCUGAAAUGCAUUAGCAGAACAACCUGUUCAUUGGCGUGAUAAUUAUCUAUGCUAUUGAAUGUGAGGGCAGUUCAGCUUUCUAACCGUCCUCGGACAAUUCAUCAUUAAUGUGACCUCAAAUCAGGUAGGACUACCCGCUGAACUUAAGCAUAUCAAUAAG
This 594-nucleotide ribosomal RNA is filed under the name Cortinarius minutulus. RNAcentral's name for it is "eukaryotic LSU rRNA". The stretch from base 206 to 359 matches the Rfam family "5.8S ribosomal RNA". Lineage: Eukaryota; Fungi; Basidiomycota; Agaricomycetes; Agaricales; Cortinariaceae. The record is from RNAcentral.